This 336-nucleotide ribosomal RNA is filed under the name uncultured Flavobacterium sp. RNAcentral's name for it is "bacterial SSU rRNA". It matches the Rfam family "Bacterial small subunit ribosomal RNA", at positions 1 to 342 of the family's 1533-position model. Lineage: Bacteria; Pseudomonadati; Bacteroidota; Flavobacteriia; Flavobacteriales; Flavobacteriaceae. The record is from RNAcentral.
UCGAGAGUUUUAUCCUGGCUCAGGAUGAACGCUAGCGGCAGGCUUAACACAUGCAAGUCGAGGGGUAGUAGUUCUUCGGAGCUAGAGACCGGCGCACGGGUGCGUAACGCGUAUGCAAUCUACCUUAUACAGGGGAAUAGCCCAGAGAAAUUUGGAUUAAUACCUCAUAGUAUGUGAGAAUCGCAUGGUUUUUCACAUUAAAGUUCCAACGGUAAAAGAUGAGCAUGCGUCCCAUUAGCUAGAUGGUAAGGUAACGGCUUACCAUGGCUACGAUGGGUAGGGGUCCUGAGAGGGAGAUCCCCCACACUGGUACUGAGACACGGACCAGACUCCGUA